RNAcentral lists this ribosomal RNA (253 nucleotides) under uncultured bacterium. RNAcentral describes it as "partial 16S ribosomal RNA". It matches the Rfam family "Bacterial small subunit ribosomal RNA", at positions 524 to 776 of the family's 1533-position model. The record is from RNAcentral.
UACGUAGGCAGCGAGCGUUGUUCGGAAUUACUGGGCGUAAAGAGUGUGUAGGCGGUGUUCCCAGUCUGUUGUGAAAUCUCCCGGCUUAACUGGGAGGGUGCAGCGGAAACUAGAAUGCUAGAGGGUGGGAGAGGUAAGCGGAAUUCCUGGUGUAGCGGUGAAAUGCGUAGAUAUCGGGAGGAACACCUGUGGCGAAAGCGGCUCACUGGACCACAACUGACGCUGAGGCGCGAAAGCUAGGGGAGCAAACAGG